Molecule: ribosomal RNA, 253 nt
Filed under: uncultured bacterium
Lineage: Bacteria
Description: partial 16S ribosomal RNA
Rfam family: Bacterial small subunit ribosomal RNA
Source: RNAcentral
UACAGAGGGUGCGAGCGUUGUCCGGAAUCACUGGGCGUAAAGGGCGCGUAGGCGGCUCGGUAAGCGUGCGGUGAAAGCCCGGGGCUCAACCCCGGGUCGGCCGUGCGAACUGCGGAGCUGGAGCACUGUAGAGGCAGGUGGAAUUCCGGGUGUAGCGGUGGAAUGCGUAGAGAUCGGGAAGAACACCAGUGGCGAAGGCGACGUGCUGGGUUGCACCUGACGCUGAGAUGCGAAAGUGUGGGGAGCAAACGGG